RNAcentral lists this ribosomal RNA (251 nucleotides) under uncultured microorganism. Its description in RNAcentral is "partial small subunit ribosomal RNA". It matches the Rfam family "Bacterial small subunit ribosomal RNA", at positions 526 to 776 of the family's 1533-position model. The record is from RNAcentral.
UACGGGGGGCAAGCGUUGUUCGGAAUUACUGGGCGUAAAGGGUUCGUAGGUGGCCGACUAAGUCAGACGUGAAAUCCCUCAGCUCAACUGGGGAACUGCGUCUGAGACUGGCCGGCUUGAGUGCAGGAGAGGAACGCGGAAUUCCAGGUGUAGCGGUGAAAUGCGUAGAUAUCUGGAGGAACACCGGUGGCGAAGGCGGCGUUCUGGACUGCUACUGACACUGAGGAACGAAAGCCAGGGGAGCAAACGGG